GCUGGCGCAUGCUUACACAUGCAGUCGACGGCAGCACGGGAGCAAUCCUGUGCGAGUGGCGAACGGGUGAGNAUACAUCGGAACGUNCUGUCGUGGGGGAUAACUAGUCGAAAGAUUAGCUAAUACCGCAUACGACCUGAGGGGUGAAAGCGGGGGACCGUAAGGCCUCGCGCGAUAGGAGCGGCCGAUGUCUGAUUAGCUAGUUGGUGGGGUAAAGGCCCACCAAGGCGACGAUCAGUAGCUGGUCUGAGAGGACGAUCAGCCACACUGGGACUGAGACACGGNCCAGACUCCUACGGGAGGCAGCAGUGGGGAAUUUUGGACAAUGGGGGCAACCCUGAUCCAGCAAUGCCGCGUGUGUGAAGAAGGCCUUCGGGUUGUAAAGCACUUUUGUCCGGAAAGAAAUCCCUUGCCCUAAUACGGCGGGGGGAUGACGGUACCGGAAGAAUAAGCACCGGCUAACUACGUGCCAGCAGCCGCGGUAAUACGUAGGGUGCGAGCGUUAAUCGGAAUUACUGGGCGUAAAGCGUGCGCAGGCGGUUUUGUAAGACAGGCGUGAAAUCCCCGAGCUCAACUUGGGAAUGGCGCUUGUGACUGCAAGGCUAGAGUAUGUCAGAGGGGGGUAGAAUUCCACGUGUAGCAGUGAAAUGCGUAGAGAUGUGGAGGAAUACCGAUGGCGAAGGCAGCCCCCUGGGACGUCACUGACGCUCAUGCACGAAAGCGUGAGGAGCAAACAGGAUUAGAUACCCUGGUAGUCCACGCCCUAAACGAUGUCAACUAGUUGUUGGGGAUUCAUUUCUUCAGUAACGUAGCUAAC
RNAcentral lists this ribosomal RNA (817 nucleotides) under uncultured Cupriavidus sp. Its description in RNAcentral is "bacterial SSU rRNA". It matches the Rfam family "Bacterial small subunit ribosomal RNA", at positions 35 to 856 of the family's 1533-position model. Lineage: Bacteria; Pseudomonadati; Pseudomonadota; Betaproteobacteria; Burkholderiales; Burkholderiaceae. The record is from RNAcentral.